This 520-nucleotide unclassified non-coding RNA is filed under the name uncultured Glomus. RNAcentral describes it as "SSU rRNA". It matches the Rfam family "Eukaryotic small subunit ribosomal RNA", at positions 569 to 1092 of the family's 1831-position model. The record is from RNAcentral. Lineage: Eukaryota; Fungi; Glomeromycota; Glomeromycetes; Glomerales; Glomeraceae.
AGCAGCCGCGGUAAUUCCAGCUCCAAUAGCGUAUAUUAAAGUUGUUGCAGUUAAAAGCUCGUAGUUGAAUUUCGGGAUCAAUUAAUUGGUCGUGCCUCUGGUACGUACUGGUUUUAUUGGUUUCUCCCUUCUGACGAACCAUGAUGUCAUUAAUCUGGUGUCGUGGAGAAUCAGGACUGUUACUUUGAAAAAAUUGGGUGUUUAAAGCAAGCUAACGCUUGAAUACAUUAGCAUGGAAUAAUGAAAUAGGACGUUUGAUCCUAUUUUGUUGGUUUCUAGGAUCGACGUAAUGAUUAAUAGGGAUAGUUGGGGGCAUUAGUAUUCAAUUGUCAGAGGUGAAAUUCUUGGAUUUAUUGAAGACUAACUACUGCGAAAGCAUUUGCCAAGGAUGUUUUCAUUAAUCAAGAACGAAAGUUAGGGAUCGAAGACGAUCAGAUACCGUCGUAGUCUUAACCAUAAACUAUGCCGACUAGGGAUCGGAUGAUGUUAAUUUUUUAAUGUACUCAUUCGGCGCCUUAAC